GGAAUACUGGCAGAAGCUGGCUCAUGCUGCAGGCACUGGGGAAGCAGCCUGGGGCUUUCUUAGAGCACGCAUCAGCCUCCAGCUGCACUGGGGGUUCUGAGUCUACACACCUUCUCCCUGCCUUGUCCAGCACUGGGUCAGGCACUAUGGAGUCAAAACCUAGAAAGUGAACAGCAUCCACACCAUUGCCUGUGCAGGCAAGGAUACAAAAGGAGGGAGGCCCCGAGCCUCCAGCACAAUGUGGUGUCUGCCUCCUUAGAAUCAUGAUGUACUGUUUCCCAAGCAGCACUGUGAGAAGCACAGGUACCCUGUGGCAUGUUAACAGGUCUUCCUCAGCCUCACUGUGCAACCUUUAAAGACUCUUUUGGCAGGUAAAUUUCAAAAUCCCUGCACACACUUUUCUUUUAUUCAAAAUCACCCUCUUUUCACCCAACGACUCUCCCCUCUGUUGUUCCCCGUUCCCACCGAUUUAGGUCCUAUUGACCAGCUAGACAGUAAGGCCCUGAAAGACAGAGACUUUAUUCUGCAUUGAAGCCUCUCCUCCACUAAUGAGCACAGUGGGUGCAUAAUAAUGUUGGCAAUGGACUCCAUGCUUCCCACUGAUACUAGGGUCACUAUCGGCCAAUCAGGUUCUCCCGUGAG
This 642-nucleotide long non-coding RNA is filed under the name Homo sapiens (human). RNAcentral describes it as "non-protein coding lnc-FOXQ1-8:2". Lineage: Eukaryota; Metazoa; Chordata; Mammalia; Primates; Hominidae. The record is from RNAcentral.